CCUACGGGAGGCAGCAGUGAGGAAUAUUGGUCAAUGGGCGGGAGCCUGAACCAGCCAAGCCGCGUGAGGGAAGAAGGUACAGCGUAUCGUAAACCUCUUUUGUCAGGGAACAAAGGCGGGGACUAGUCCCCGGAUGAGGGUACCUGAAGAAAAAGCAUCGGCAAACUCCGUGCCAGCAGCCGCGGUAAUACGGAGGAUGCGAGCGUUAUCCGGAUUUAUUGGGUUUAAGGGGUGCGCAGGCGGCCUGUUAAGGCGGCGGGAAAAGCCCGGGGCUCAACCCCGGCGAGCCGUUGAAACUGGCGGGCUGGAGUGGGAGAGAAGUACGCGGAAUGCGCGGUGUAGCGGUGAAAUGCGUAGAUAUCGCGCAGAACCCCGAUUGCGAAGGCAGCGUACCGGCUCCACACUGACGCUGAGGCACGAAAGCGUGGGUAUCGAACAGGAUUAGAUACCCCUGUAGUC
Molecule: ribosomal RNA, 459 nt
Filed under: uncultured bacterium
Lineage: Bacteria
Description: partial 16S ribosomal RNA
Rfam family: Bacterial small subunit ribosomal RNA
Source: RNAcentral